AUUGAACGCUGGCGGCAUGCUUUACACAUGCAAGUCGAACGGCAGCGCGGGCUUCGGCCUGGCGGCGAGUGGCGAACGGGUGAGUAAUACAUCGGAACGUGCCCAGUAGUGGGGGAUAGCUCGGCGAAAGCCGGAUUAAUACCGCAUACGACCUGAGGGUGAAAGCGGGGGAUCUUCGGACCUCGCGCUAUUGGAGCGGCCGAUGGCAGAUUAGCUAGUUGGUGGGGUAAAGGCCUACCAAGGCGACGAUCUGUAGCUGGUCUGAGAGGACGACCAGCCACACUGGGACUGGGACACGGCCCAGACUCCUACGGGAGGCAGCAGUGGGGAAUUUUGGACAAUGGGCGAAAGCCUGAUCCAGCAAUGCCGCGGGUGUGAUGAAGGCCUUCGGGUUGUAAAGCACUUUUGGCGGGAACGAAAAGGACUGUGCCAAUACCACGGUUCGAUGACGGUACCCGCAGAAUAAGCACCGGCUAACUACGUG
Molecule: ribosomal RNA, 484 nt
Filed under: uncultured bacterium
Lineage: Bacteria
Description: partial 16S ribosomal RNA
Rfam family: Bacterial small subunit ribosomal RNA
Source: RNAcentral